RNAcentral lists this long non-coding RNA (1777 nucleotides) under Homo sapiens (human). RNAcentral's name for it is "HSALNT0351951". Lineage: Eukaryota; Metazoa; Chordata; Mammalia; Primates; Hominidae. The record is from RNAcentral.
AUUAUUGCUCAGCAAAGAGGAGAAUAGUUUCCUUGAAGGAAAAAAAACAUCCUUAAGAACUUACUAGUUUAAAGCUGAGCAUCUUAGAUUUGAAGGUUGCCUUACCUUUUUAAAGAUUUUUUUUAUGAGUUGAUAGAAAGUCCUAAAAUCUUAGGAACAGAAACAAUUGAGAAUUACAAGUCAAAUCAUUGAAAUGGAGCCAUCUGACAGUUUAUGUGUUCUGCUGUGCCAGUAGUGAGUGGGAACAGUUUCUAUGUGGGAAUAUAAUCAGGGUCCUGACUACCCCUAAAGGAGCUCUUUCUUGUUUGGUGUGAAGCCAAUACACCAAACCGAGAGUGAGUAUCAAACAGUGUGGGCUUUUUUCAAUGGCCAUGGAAUUGCAGAAGUGGGAGCAUAGCCUGCAAAUCAACUUCUCAGAGCCUGAGAACUGAGGAUUCUUAAUGAAGGGGCUGGGUAUACAGAGGAAAGGGAGAAAUAUUCAUAGCUUUUCUUGGGAAGGGAGGUAGGUUUUUUUGGAAUCAAAGAGCCACCUCUUUUCUGCCUGUUUUUGGUCUCUUCUGGCCAUUGUCAUGGUGAUUGUCAACUGUCAAGGUGCCAGUGGGAGUGUCAUUUAGCAUGGAAAUUGGAUCAUAAUGAAGCUAGAGGUUUUUCAGAGGUCAAGCUGCCAUUGCGGAUUUUGCCAGCUUCAGCCAGUUUAGUCCUAAGAAGGAACUUCUGACCCCAGACAUCCUGUUUUCUAAAACUAAGCAGUUAAAGCUGAAUGGGAAUUUAGCUCUGUCACAUAGGCAUUUGUUGGGCAACAAAAGCAGGGUAGGGCUCCAGCUAAGCCACGUAGGCACUACGAUGGGCAACAGAAAGGUUGGUUUCUGGGCAAUUCAGAGAAACCAAGGACAGCUACCCCCAGAACUCAGAGUAGCCAACUGGGCUGCUCACAGGAGAUGCCUUAACUGAAAGGUGAUCAGACUCCACAGGAGACCCAGAGAAGAUGUGGAGGGAGCUCAGAGGCUGUCCUGGAGGAGACGUGGAGACAGCUCAGAGGCUGUCCCAGAGAAGACGUGGAAAGAGCUCAGAGGCUGUCCCAGAGAAGACGUGGAGAGCUCAGAGGAUGUCCCAGAGAAGACGUGGAGAGAGUUCAGAGGCUGUCCCGGAGAAGACGUGGAAAGAGCUCAGAAACUCAGAGACUGUCCCGGAGAAGACAUGGAAACAGCUCAGACGCUGUCUGCAAGAAGAUGUGGAGAGAGUUCAGAGGCUGUCGUUACUGCUGCACUUGGCUGUUUUUCUUUGGAUAAUUAUUGCAAUCAAUUUUAGUAAUUCAGGUGUUAAAUCACAGUCAAGCACCUAUUUACCUAGUGAAUCUAGAUUGUAUUUGUCUUUGGAAACAGUCACAGCCACUUCCAGAGGUCAUUUCCCAUAGACCCCAAACUUCUCUUCUCCCAGCCUUGGAGGUGCUGGGUUCUAGAAGGAGGAGGCAGUGAGUCCAGAAGCCCAGCCAUAUCAGGAUGACAUCUACCAUGCAUCAGUCCUCGUGUGUCUUCAGCGCCUCUUUCACAUGUCUGUGUCCUUAGAGCUUGCUGGAACCAUCUUUGCUUGUCUCUGUGUAUUCUGAGUCUGUGACUAUUUGGCUCUAGGAGUCUUCUCAACAAAGUACAAUUUCUGUUGUCUUUUUCCAAAAAACUUUAUGAAUAAAAUGAAAAUAUGAGUAAUAUAAAAUCAAAAUAUAUUUUGAUUUCUCAUUUCAAAAUUAUCUACCUCUGUAGUUUAAUAGAACUCAAUUAUU